UCCACCCGUCGCAUGGUCGGGCGCUGCGGCAGCACCGGAGGAGAAGCCUCGAUGGGCGCAGAACGGGCGCAGCGGCCGCCGGGCAGAGAGCCGAGACCCUUCUCGGAGAGGGCCAAGCAGGAGGCCCUGAGCAAGUUGGCGGCCAUGAAGGUGGAGUUCUCGAGGAUGGACUGGUUCUUGCGCUCGGUGCUUCUGCCUGUGGACAUUUUUGGGGAUGGUCGACGGCGUCGGUGGUGGGGCUGGCGGUGGUCGAGAAGUACUGGAAGUGAUGAGGAUAUGGGAGAUGAUGUCCCUAUUUAUACUGGUGGGGUAGUGUUCCUUGGUAUGAAAGGAAUUCUUGUCCUAGGUCAAAGUCUAAAGUAACGGCCGUUGUAUGAUUCUAAGACCGGCGUUAUGCUACGCAUGGG
This 407-nucleotide long non-coding RNA is filed under the name Phoenix dactylifera (date palm). Its description in RNAcentral is "long non-coding RNA (PDAC_LNC000225)". Lineage: Eukaryota; Viridiplantae; Streptophyta; Magnoliopsida; Arecales; Arecaceae. The record is from RNAcentral.